GUUUAUAAAUUCAUCAUUAACCCCAAGGGAUAGAACGCGCCGCCUCCCAGUAAGUCUGAACGUGGCUGUGGUUUCAUAUAAUCUUACAACACAGAUGGAUGCUAUGAAACCUGUUGCGAAACAGCUAGAGAAAGAAGACGACGACGACGACGACGAUGAAGAUGAAGGAAGCAUCACGCAUCAUGAAGAUGCAGUCCUUCCGUCGAAUCAGUAAUUAACCAAAACAAAAUAAUCUUGCUUCUUUUCUCUUUGGUGACCCUCCUAUUCAGCGAUCUCCUCCUUAUAGGCAUCAACCGUAACCUCCGGUGACCACAACCCAGGAAAUACCAACUCCGGAGAAGCCUUGUCGAUGUCCUUAUUCGUUAGUGUCGACAUUCUGGUGGGUGUUUCCCACUCCGCCAAUCGAUGCCUUACACGCUGACCUUCUGGUUCUCAGAUUCCAUGGCCUCACCUCUUCAGCCGCUGCAGGGGAUUCUUCUACUUCCUUCUUCUUGCUGGCUCUGUCAUCGAGGUUUAUCAUUAUCAGUAUGUUUGAACUUUCAAAUGUUUGGGUAUCAACAGACCAACUUGUUAACUUCAAGAAUAAUUUUCGGUAGCGGAGAGGGUUGCCAAAAAGGAGUUGGAUUCUGCUUUUGCAGUCGUUAGACCUCCAAGGCAUCAUGCCAAAGAAGAUGAAGCUAUGGGGUUCUGUUUAUUUAACAAUGCGGUUAUUGCAACACAUUUUCUGUUAAAUGAAAGAAUUCUCUCCUACAAGGCCAGUAAUUCAUGGACAUAUGCAAACGCAAUUACUUUUCACAACUAGAGUGAUGUCUAUCUGUCUGUCUGGCCAUCCAAGAAACAUAUGCAGAUUAUUAUAGUCCUUCUCGGUAGAAUGCCGAAUGUACGUACAGCCCACUUUCUCAUGUCUAAUUUGCGGACUUCAGGAGACUUUUCUUGUAUGAAGAUGUUGGGUGAACAAGUGAUGUACUCGUCUCAGAAGGAAUACGUCAACAUAGAAUAUGAAGAUAGACUAAGCAGCUUACCAGAAGAUCUUCGCAAGCGUAUUAUGUGUGUGCUCCGUAUACAAUAUUCAGUAAGAACUUGCAGAUUGUCCAAAAAGUUGAGAUACACCUAUGAGUCUCUUCCUACUCUUUUAUUUGAUUCCUUCCAAUUUGCUACUGCUGAAAGUGGACCUGACAGUUUUGUGGAAUUCAUAGACCAGAUGUUAUUGCAUCAUGAUGAUUCAGAUAUAGCAGCCAUCAAAUUAAAAUUAUGUAGAGGAAGAGCACUCAUCAUCUUAAAGGCCGAAUGGAUUGAUUUUGCUUUGAAGCAUAGUGUUGAAGACCUUGUUGUUGAAGGUCUUUUUUUGGGAACAAAGAGGGUUUGGCUUGUGUCUUUUCAUCCAGAACAUUGAGAAGAUUUUCUUUUUCCAUGGAAUGCUAUAGUCUCAGAUUGCGCUCAUCCAUUUAUCAUCCCAGUCUUAAAGAGUUGUGUCUGGGCGGUGUCAUUUUUUACCGGUGAGGAGGAUUUGUCAGGGGAGUUAUUCUCAUCGUGUCCAGUUUUGGAAUCUGUGCAAUUGUGGAAUUGCAAUCUGUCUUUUCUGAAGGUUUUGAAUGUUUCUGCUCUCAUACUCAAACACCUUGAAAUAGACAAUUGUGGCGAGCUCGAAAACAUUGAGAUCAAUCUCCUUAUGCCAAGUCUUACAUCAAUUAUAUGCAGAGGAAAUCUUGCGCAAAACUAUCACACCCUUCUCUACGUUAUGCAGAUAUUCAAGUCGGAGAAGUUUACAUAGAUCAAAUGAGUAUAGAGAUUCUUAGCUGCACUGCGUUAAAGUUGCUUACUGAACUCCGUAAUGUUAUUGUACUGGCUGUGAUAAUUUGUUGUGGGAGCUUCUCUUCUACCAGGCCAGUAAUGCAUGGACAUGCAAAUGCAAUUACUUUUUUCAACAAUAGCAAUGUCUAUCUGUCUAUUUGGCCGUCCAAAAAACAUGUACAGAUGAUUAUAAUCUUUCUCAGUAGAAUGCCGAAUGCACAACGUAGACUAAACAGCUUACCAGAAGAUCUUCGCAAGCAUAUUAUGUGUACGCCUAUACAUUGCGCAGCAUGAACUUGCAGUUUGUCCAAAAAGUGGAGGUACACCUAUGAGUAUCUUCCUAUUCUUGUAUUUGAUUCCUUCCAAUUUGCUGCUGCUGAAAGUGGUUGGGUUACAUUCUUUUCUUAGCAAUGCCAUAAGGCAACGUCAUUGCCAAGGGCCAAUUAUUGGUUCCUGCUAGUGGUUUGUGAAACUGGAAGAUUCAAUUCGUGGUUGGCUACCUUUUAUGUGUUUUGAUCCUGGGGAGUAGACAAUCGUAUGUUGAUUAGCUAUCUCUUUAGGGAUUUUUAUUUUCUUGCGGUGGAAUGCUUAGGUACAUAGAAAAGGAAAAGGUUUGUUAGGGGAGGGAAAAGAUUUAGGUUUGGAAAGGUAUUAGUGGAGAGAAAAAACAUGAGUCUCAUUUCCCUUGCUUAUUUUUUGGGUGUUGUGGAAAGAGAGGAACAUUGAGUUUUUAAAUUAUGAGUCAUCCUCUUUAUAUGAUUGGGAGGAUUUUGGAGACUAUUGAUAUUUUUUUUGAUUGACAUGGAAAUAUUUUUUUAUAUAUAGGUCGACAUCACCUUGGUGAUUGUAAAUUAA
Molecule: non-coding RNA, 2646 nt
Organism: Carica papaya (papaya)
Lineage: Eukaryota; Viridiplantae; Streptophyta; Magnoliopsida; Brassicales; Caricaceae
Source: RefSeq, a predicted model, not a curated record